CCUACGGGUGGCAGCAGUGGGGAAUAUUGGGCAAUGGGCGCAAGCCUGACCCAGCAACGCCGCGUGAAGGAAGAAGGCUUUCGGGUUGUAAACUUCUUUUGUCAGGGACGAAGCAAGCGACGGUACCUGACGAAUAAGCCACGGCUAACUACGGGCCAGCAGCCGCGGUAAUACGGAGGUGGCAAGCGUUCUCCGGAUGUAUUGGGUGUAAAGGGCGUGUAGGCGGGAAUGCAAGUCAGAUGUGAAAACUAUGGGCUCAACCCAUAGCCUGCAUUUGAAACUGUAUUUCUUGAGUGCUGGAGGGGCAAUCGGAAUUCCGGGUGUAGCGGUGAAAUGCGUAGAUAUACGGAGGAACACCAGUGGCGAAGGCGGAUUGCUGGACAGUAACUGACGCUGAGGCGCGAAAGCGUGGGGAGCAAACAGGAUUAGAUACCCUUGUAGUC
This 443-nucleotide ribosomal RNA is filed under the name uncultured bacterium. RNAcentral describes it as "partial 16S ribosomal RNA". It matches the Rfam family "Bacterial small subunit ribosomal RNA", at positions 338 to 795 of the family's 1533-position model. The record is from RNAcentral.